Molecule: non-coding RNA, 204 nt
Organism: Oryza glumipatula
Lineage: Eukaryota; Viridiplantae; Streptophyta; Magnoliopsida; Poales; Poaceae
Source: Rfam
AAAAAGACAAACCCUGGGUUUCCGUGUCUAAUUUUAACUGUCCGUCUUAUAUAAAAAAAUUUUAUAAUUCAUAUUUUCAUUGUCGUUAGAUGAUAAAAUAUGAUUAGUAUUUUAUGUGUGACUUGUCUUUUAAUAUUUUUUAUAUUUUUUUUAAAUAAGACGGACGGUAAAACUCUGGACACGGAAACCAGGGUUUGUCUUUUU